This 669-nucleotide ribosomal RNA is filed under the name uncultured cyanobacterium. Its description in RNAcentral is "bacterial SSU rRNA". It matches the Rfam family "Bacterial small subunit ribosomal RNA", at positions 376 to 1061 of the family's 1533-position model. The record is from RNAcentral. Lineage: Bacteria; Bacillati; Cyanobacteriota.
CGAAAGCCUGACGGAGCAACGCCGCGUGAGGGAUGAAGGCCUCUGGGCUGUAAACCUCUUUUAUCAAGGAAGAAGAUCUGACGGUACUUGAUGAAUAAGCCACGGCUAAUUCCGUGCCGGCAGCCGCGGUAAUACGGGAGUGGCAAGCGUUAUCCGGAAUUAUUGGGCGUAAAGCGUCCGCAGGCGGUUUUGAAAGUCUGUUGUUAAAGCGUGGAGCUUAACUCCAUUUCAGCAAUGGAAACUACAAGACUAGAGUGUGGUAGGGGCAGAGGGAAUUCCCGGUGUAGCGGUGAAAUGCGUAGAUAUCGGGAAGAACACCAGUGGCGAAGGCGCUCUGCUGGGCCAUAACUGACGCUCAUGGACGAAAGCCAGGGGAGCGAAAGGGAUUAGAUACCCCUGUAGUCCUGGCCGUAAACGAUGAACACUAGGUGUCGGGGGAAUCGACCCCCUCGGUGUCGUAGCCAACGCGUUAAGUGUUCCGCCUGGGGAGUACGCACGCAAGUGUGAAACUCAAAGGAAUUGACGGGGGCCCGCACAAGCGGUGGAGUAUGUGGUUUAAUUCGAUGCAACGCGAAGAACCUUACCAGGGUUUGACAUCCUGCGAAUCCCUUGGAAACUUGGGAGUGCCUUCGGGAGCGCAGUGACAGGUGGUGCAUGGCUUCUCAGCUC